Molecule: long non-coding RNA, 5049 nt
Organism: Populus nigra (black poplar)
Lineage: Eukaryota; Viridiplantae; Streptophyta; Magnoliopsida; Malpighiales; Salicaceae
Exons: 5
Source: RefSeq, a predicted model, not a curated record
UUAGCAGUGGAGCCGCUUCAAUCAAGGAGCACGUCUCACAGCUGUUAUCCCUCGCCACCAUGAUGCACGCCAGCCGUUACCAUCUUUCUGCAAUAAAAGCAUGCAUCUAUAGCCAGAGGAGAGACAGGCAUGAGAGAGGGGGGGUUGAGACGAACGAAAAACGGAGGGGGAAGAGGGAGAAUAAAAAAGAAACAGAGAGAAGCAUUGGCCAGCCAACGCACGAGCAUCAGCUGCACCAGAAAGAAAAACAGAGGGGAGGGAACGACCGCAGAGAAACGAAAGGGAAGAAAAGCAGGGGAGGACAGAGGAGGAAAAAGGAAGGAGAAAGAAAGAAAAAGAACUAAAGAGAGUAGAAAGCACAAAAAAAAAAACAGAGACCAGAAGGAAAAGACAGACGCAAACCAGCUGAACAGAGAAAAAAACAGGGGAAGCACACAGAGGGAUGAAGAAAAAAUGAAGACUGGGAACUAACACAAAAAAAAAAAAACAGAGAAAAACUAGAAGAAAAAAGACACAGCGUUGAUCGUUUUCAUCGUCCCCAGAACCAGUCACCAGCGAUCCUGCGCAGCAGUUUCAUCGCCAUCGUCUUCGUCUGUCUCAGUUACCAGGUAAGCUUCAUACAUUUCUCUUCACGUUGCAUUUUUUCUGUCAUUGCAUGCAGAGUUUUAAGACCCGGACCGGCCAGCGGGCCGACCCGGGACCCGGCCGACCCGGGCCUGAGACUAGUCCGGAUGGAGGAAAAAACCCGUUUGGAAAUUGAUCCGGAAAAACCCGAUCAACCUAAUGGGUCGACUCGGGACCCGGUUAAACCCAGCUGAGGAGCAGAGGAUGUCUUGACUAUUGAUCGCUAUUGUUUCUCUGCGAAAAAGGUUUGAAUCUCCUUCUUUCACUCUCUGUUUUCUUUAUUCUUGACCGUUGAAACAAUUUGUUUUCGAAUAUGGAAUUAAGCACAAUGAUAGCAAAACACAACCAGUCAGUCGCCCCCCUCCCCCCUCAGUCUAUCGAACAGCUGAACUGCGUGCCUUGUCUCUUUCUGAUUUAACAAUGGGGGAGACCGACGUUUCUGCUCCCGGCGAGAAAACCAUAAGCAAAAAUGCACUGAAGAAGGAAUUAAAGAAUAAGAAGAAAGAAGAACAGAGACGCCAAAAAGAGACGUCCUCUGCUCAGUAAUAAGGAAUGAAGUGUCAGGUGUCGAUGGUGGCCGCGGAGAAAGUGCAGUGUCUUGUUGAUUUUGGGAUUAUCAUCCUGAAAAUGUCCUUUCAUCAAUGGAGACCAUCAUGUCCCUUGUCUUAAAAGAAAGUGAAGAUAUCUCUGUGGAAUAACGGUCACCCUUUUUAGCUAGUGUGAAAAAGGGUGAUGAGGAAGCUCUACCUGUUGCCCAAAAGUUGGGAGAGAAAGUACUUGAAACCUGUGCUACAAAGGUUAAACCUUACUUGAUACAGGCUGUGAAAUCUUUGGGUGUAUCUUUAGAGGACUACAACGAUAUUAUUGGUUCAAUGUGCCAAGAAAUCUCUGGUUCCAUUGAGCAGAAAGAUGUCCAUGCUGGUGAUGAAAAUAAGGUAAGCUGUUGUGCUACUAAAGAUAACAUUGUAGUUAUAGUGCUGAUUUAACCACUCAUUUAAUGGUGUAUCUUGUGCUGCCAUCAUUAAGCUGUAUUUAAUAUAUCUAGUGGCAUUGCUAUUUAUUUUCUACAGAUGAUUUAAUGAAGAUUCUCAACUGAUUUUUGCCACUUCAUUCCUUAUUACUGAAUUUGAAUUGAUUGAAUUGGCACAUCAUGGGACUGAAUAUUUACUUAACAAACUCUUUCUGAUGUUUUUUUAUAGGUGUUUUUUUGGGUUGACCAUCUAACCCGUGACCCGAUCACUUGACCGGGUCGAUGACCGGGUCGAGUUUCAAAACUAUAAAUGCAUGCAUUUGUUCUUUCAUUGUUAUGUUUUACUGUUCAAGUGAAUUAUAAUUCAGUUGAACAGUAAUGAUUGCUCUUUACUGUUCAAUUGAAUUAUAAUUCAUUUGAACAGUAGUUUGAGCAUGCACGCGUGAGGAAACUAACAUAUGCCUCUUAUCUGUCCAGCCAGGUCACUAGCCCAACUAGGUCCAGCCCAGCCAUAUGGUCCGGGCCGGGUUGGGUUCAGCCCGUAAAAAAAAUUCUUCAAAAAAUUAUUUCAAAAUUAUUUGUGAUUUUCCAUAAAUUUUUUUAUUGAAUUUUGAUUAGUAUUGGUUUGUAUUUUUAUACCGUAAAGAUACAAAUUCAAUAUUAAAAUACCUAAUAUUCAUCAAAACAUUGAAAAAAUAAAACAAAAUGUUUUUAUUUUCAAGCAUACGGCCAAGUAUCUUAAAAAAAAAUUAUAUUUUUCAUAUGAAAUUCAAAAAAUAGAUAUUAGCAUGUAUUUUUACUUUAAUAACCAGUUUAUUAAAGCCACGAGAACUAAGCCAAUAUUUCAAAAAUUCUAAAAAAAAAAUGCAUUUUGUUUUCUUUUAAUAUUAAAGAUUACGCACUUAUACGUAAGGCGUAGUCUCGAUAUUAAAAAGAUAGUUUUUUUAUUAACUUUAGAAUGGUUAGGUUUUUACCCGAUAAGAUAAGAACCUCCUUACCGAGGAGGACUUUUCUUAAAUCAUAAACGAACAAACAACUAGAAAACAUGACAAGACCUUAUAUUUUAUCAGACAAUAAAACAAUGCAGCUUACCUUAGGUAGGGUGUAUUUGGGGUACUAAUAUCUUCUUGUUACGUAAUCAGUCUUCGUACCCAAUCUCUAAGACUAGUUAGGGUUCUUAGUGACCAAAAUAUUAGGUCGCAACUUCCAUUCUUUUUUUUUACUAAUAGAAGACAAGAAUUUCUUAUCUCUCUAUAUUUACCUGAUAGAUAGAAGAUAAUAUAUAUAAGAGUAUAUAUUUUAUUUUCACGGGGAUGCCGCAUUAUGUGGAAGGGACAAUCUUAUAUAUUAAUUUCCUUGUUUUACAAUAAUACACAAUACCAUAUUAGAUUUCUUUACAUCAAAGUUUACCGUCAGCUUGACUCAUAACCCUUACAUUGACAUUAUUACACAACAACAACUUUUACUAGCAUCAUUUUUCUUUUAGUUAAAGUAUUAUUUAUUUUAUUUGACUCAUUCCCAGUCUUUUAACUUAGUCAAAUCUUUAAUUUUAUUUAAUAUGCUAAUAUUUUCCACAUUGCAUUGCAUAUACAACUUUUCAUAAUUCACAACUUACCACUUAAUUUCCAUAACUACCUUGAAAUUUCUAAACACACUAAGUCAACACAAUAUAUUAUAAUGAGUAUUCAUGCACUCAAUAAUUUUUAUCAAUAUCAAUUUUAAUUCUUUUAAUUUUGUUUUUACAAUAAUUAAAAUUUAAAUUAUACAAAAUUGUCGUACCAUUUAAUAUGCGAACAGUAUAAACAUAAACAAAAUUGUCGUACCAUUUAAUAAAGAAAAAUUAUAACACAACAUAAACAAGGGAUAAUUGCAUUAACAGUACACCAAUUUUACACCUUUUUAUCAAUCAAAUGCAUGAAUUUUAUUUUAAUUUUGUUUAAAUACACCAACUUAAUUAAGAAUUCUAAUCAAGCACUUUCAUCCAAACUCUGUUAGUUACUGCUUUUUUUUUGUAUACGUGUACUUUGGCAUUUAUUAAAAAACAUUGCAACAUUGAUAUACCAACUUUCAGUUUUCAUCAGUCAAGUAAAUAAACAUUUUUUUUCAUUAUAGUACACCAUUUUUCAAAAAUCUCAUACAAAAACAAGCUGAUUCCUUCUUUAAAUCUAAAUUUUAUUAAAAAUAUUCAAAAUAUCCAUCCCCAUAAAUCGGGAGUAAUAACCACUGGCCAGGAAAGGUGCCUUGGGCUCUGAAUUCUCACAACCACGGAGAUAGCUUUCAGAGACCGUUUAAAUAUAUAGAAUUAUAAAUCCAUAAGCAUACCAAGAUGGAUGGUAAGCAAUAAAACGUUGUGUAGGCGUCUAAAUCUUGAUUAUGAAGCUCCAAGCAUGUCUUUGGCUUUAUUCAAAUUAAAGACGAGGUUUCACUGAGGUUUAAACUUAUGGACUCGGGAUUGAUGGGGUAGAGAUCAUGGGCAGAUGUAGAGGAAUUUCCAAUCCAUGAUUUAUCAGAUGGAGGAAAGAGGUCUUGUGUGCUUUUUAAACUCUGGUCUGUGACCUGCUGAUAGUGGCCUUUGAGACGUUUGGAGUGUAAAUCAUCACCAUAAAUGCUAGGAUCUGAGGUCACCUCCUGGAUGCUGGUCUGUCCUUCAAGCAUGCUCACCACUUCUGACAUUGCAGGCCUUAGAGAUGGAGAUGCAUUGGUGCAUAAGAGAGCCAAUUUGAUCAUCCUCUCAGCCUCUUCCUUGUUGAAUUCAGACUGCAGCUUUGGGUCCACUAUCUCCAUUAAAUUUCCCUUUUUUUGCAAUACAUGGGCCUGUGACGACAAUUUCAAAGACAAAUAAGAAGGAAGCUAAGAUAUUUGACCAAAUGUACCAUGUUUUGCAUUGAGAACUGAUGCCUCAUGCGUCAAUGAUUCAGGAUAGCAACAGAAACAGACUGACGAUGAUUUACCCAGUCAAGAAGACAAACAUUUUCGUUCUCUGGCCUGUAACUUGAGUUGCUCUUUCCACUGACAAUUUCUAAGGCGACAACCCCAAAACUAUAAACAUCUGCUUUAUCUGUUAGAUAGCCCCACAGUGCAUAUUCUGGAGCCAUAUAUCCUCUGAAAUAUAUAUUUUUUUUUAAAAAAACAAUGCAGAAUUAGUGCCCUUCAGAGACUUGAGGAGUAUUACUAUCAAUAAAGUUCAGGAAUUAAAUUAGUCUCAAUACAACUUACAUAGUUCCAGCAACUCGAGUGCUAAUAUGAGUGUUCUCCUCUUCAUUGAGUUUGGCUAGACCGAAGUCUGAUAUCUUGGCAUUUAGAUCUUUGUCCAGUAAUACAUUUGUACCUUUGAUGUCCCUGUGAACAAUCCUGAUUGCAGAUCCUUCAUGGAGAAAUGCUAAACCUCUGGCUAUUCCAACACAUAUCUUAUACCUUGUAGGCCAAUCCAACGUCAGAAAACUUGUUUCGGAACC